CUGCCAUUUUUUGAUGGGGGUUGGUGAGGGCGUCUGACCUGAAGGAGGAGGCCAGAUGCAGCUAUUUAUAAAGUUUUCAGGGAAUAGAGAUCUCAAGAGAAGAUUGCAUGUCCUUGCUGUCCCCCUGGCCGCCAGUGGUCACUGAGCCAUCUUCUCCCCAUUUCCCAGGUAUGAUCGGGUACGGCAUGGCCAAGGCUGCUGUUCACCAGCUCUGCCAGAGCCUGGCUGGGAAGAACAGCGGCAUGCCGCCCGGGGCAGCCGCCAUCGCUGUGCUCCCGGUUACCCUGGAUACCCCGAUGAACAGGAAAUCAAUGCCUGAGGCUGACUUCAGCUCCUGGACACCCUUAGAAUUCCUAGUUGAGUGAGUAUUACAGACAUGUCCAUGACUGAGCAGCUUCCAGCCCCUAUUCUCUGCCUGCUGUGGUCCAGAGGACAAGUCUGUGUUCCCUGAGAUCGUCAAUCCGGGUGGUCUUGGGAGGUCUCUGGGACUCUGAGGAUGCGUUGCACAUCAGACGGAAUCUCAGGGUAGCUGGACUUGGAGACAGGCAGCAGAGUGGCAGAAUGGGUAGUGCCGACAUGAAUCC
RNAcentral lists this small RNA (584 nucleotides) under Pan troglodytes (chimpanzee). Its description in RNAcentral is "retained intron". Lineage: Eukaryota; Metazoa; Chordata; Mammalia; Primates; Hominidae. The record is from RNAcentral.